AUUCCGGUAAAAACAUAACCCGAGGCAUUCUAGCGGAGAAUCUCAACUUUUCAAGAUUUUGGCACGAGAGCUGAAGCAACGAGACAGAACUUCCAGCAAGCGGGAAUCCUAGCGGAUUAACAGUAACAAAGGUAAGCAGCCAGUCAUAUAGUGGUUUGCUUGAUGGACAGGCGGAGGCAAGGGUGGCGGAAAUGUCAUGGGUACACGGGAGUGGUCUUUACUACGCUCGCUUAGAAAACAAUUUCCGCUGCAGAUUAAUGUAAUAUAGAAUACUAGUAUGUAUGUUCAGUUCUAAGAAGAAGAUAUUACAACCAUUGUCUUAGUAAAGAACAACGGACUAUAAUAAGUUAAGACAAGU
This is a long non-coding RNA of Morus notabilis, 358 nucleotides long. RefSeq lists it as uncharacterized. Lineage: Eukaryota; Viridiplantae; Streptophyta; Magnoliopsida; Rosales; Moraceae. The transcript is spliced from 3 exons. The record is from RefSeq and is a predicted model, not a curated record.